GAUGCUCUUCCGAUCCCAAAUUACCAUCUGAUAUCCCAAGGUUAUUUUUGUUUUCCUUCUGAACUCUACGUAUCACUUUGGGGGUCGCUACACGAGCAGGACGAUUUUUUAAUUUUUUGAAUUCAGCAUUCCUCCUCCCCUCAUACAUAUCUAAAACUCUGCAAAUUGCCUCAUUAUGAAUUUUUUCUUUUUCGAAGUGGCUAUUAACCAUUAUCCGAACGCGCUCGCACACUUUUUCGUAGUAGUGGCAAAAUUUUUUUGCGAGUUCCUCUGAAUUUUUUGUCCUCAUUUUUGAACUAAUCGAGAUAUCGACUUCCGGUUUUCUGAUUUGGAUAGUCAAUCGCAUGGACUACAAAACUACCGCGUUCCAACUCAGUGACAAUUUUUCUUUCAUACAAAUAAAUAUACUUUUUCAAAUGUUUCUUUACUUUUGGACCGAAUCCUAGUGCAGCCAUCGAUUCUGACUGAAUGUUAACUUGUGAUUUCCACUUGC
This is a long non-coding RNA of Folsomia candida, 493 nucleotides long. RefSeq lists it as uncharacterized. NCBI's taxonomy places the organism in Eukaryota, Metazoa, Arthropoda, Collembola, Entomobryomorpha, Isotomidae. The record is from RefSeq and is a predicted model, not a curated record. The transcript has 3 exons.